AGCACGAGGCUUCCCGACCCAGGGGAUCUGAUCUUCUUCCAUUGCUUCAGGCCAAAGAACCCUCAGUGGCCCUCCACAGUGCUCUUGGGCAUUUGGUCCCUGCACAGAGCCAAGGACUCAGCAUUUCACACCACACUUAGAGGGCAGAGACCGUGCCCAGUACAGAGUAUCUACAGGAGAAACACAUGACGUGCUCUCCCUCCGGUCCAUCCCUGGGACCACCCCUCCCCGUGGAGUUCCUCUGACCCAGGAGUUUGCAUCUCCUCUGCAGCCAGGAGGAAUCCAGGGUCAAGGCUACCGUGCGCUGUCGUGAAAGCUGCACCGGUACUGGUACUGAAAUCCAGCCCGCGCUGGUCUCCGAGCUAAGGGCCCACGGAGCAGGCUUACUAAUUACGCCUCUCAUUUUCUGUAUUACUGAUGCUUUGGCAUCUUGGGUCCUUACUGAUCCUGUAGGCUUCCCCUUCCCGUCAUAGUAAACAACUUGCCUGA
Neofelis nebulosa (Clouded leopard) is the source of this 489-nucleotide long non-coding RNA. RefSeq lists it as uncharacterized. The transcript is spliced from 2 exons. NCBI's taxonomy places the organism in Eukaryota, Metazoa, Chordata, Mammalia, Carnivora, Felidae. The record is from RefSeq and is a predicted model, not a curated record.